CCUACGGGAGGCAGCAGUGGGGAAUUUUGGACAAUGGGCGCAAGCCUGAUCCAGCAAUGCCGCGUGAGUGAAGAAGGCCUUCGGGUUGUAAAGCUCUUUUGUCAGGGAAGAAACGGUGGGGGCUAAUAUCUCCUACUAAUGACGGUACCUGAAGAAUAAGCACCGGCUAACUACGUGCCAGCAGCCGCGGUAAUACGUAGGGUGCAAGCGUUAAUCGGAAUUACUGGGCGUAAAGCGUGCGCAGGCGGUUUUGUAAGUCUGUCGUGAAAGCCCCGGGCUCAACCUGGGAAUUGCGAUGGAGACUGCAAGGCUUGAAUCUGGCAGAGGGGGGUAGAAUUCCACGUGUAGCAGUGAAAUGCGUAGAGAUGUGGAGGAACACCGAUGGCGAAGGCAGCCCCCUGGGUCAAGAUUGACGCUCAUGCACGAAAGCGUGGGGAGCAAACAGGAUUAGAUACCCUGGUAGUCCACGCCCUAAACGAUGUCUACUAGUUGUCGGGUUUUAAUUAACUUGGUAACGCAGCUAACGCGUGAAGUAGACCGCCUGGGGAUACGGUCGCAAGNUUAAAACGCAAAGGAAUUGACGG
Molecule: ribosomal RNA, 584 nt
Filed under: uncultured bacterium
Lineage: Bacteria
Description: bacterial SSU rRNA
Rfam family: Bacterial small subunit ribosomal RNA
Source: RNAcentral